AACCAUCAACUCCUGGCACUUUAGUCGGCUCUAUCUCCCAAAGAGCCUCUCUGAUUUCCUCAACCUUGAACUCACGCAAUAGUUUUUCAUUCAUAGAUGGAGACAUUCUUGAGGAAACUCCUUCAUACGUAUUAUCAUCAUCCCUCUGCCAAGAACUAGUAAAUAAUUCCUUAAAAUAGCUGACUGUCGUCUUCAUCAUCUCAUCUUCCUCAGUAAUAACCGAACCAUCCUCACAUUUGAGUCUCAUGAUCUUAUUCAUACGGCGUUUGUUAGAAGUAAG
RNAcentral lists this long non-coding RNA (280 nucleotides) under Gossypium barbadense (sea-island cotton). RNAcentral's name for it is "long non-coding RNA (GBAR_LNC011468)". Lineage: Eukaryota; Viridiplantae; Streptophyta; Magnoliopsida; Malvales; Malvaceae. The record is from RNAcentral.